CAUCCUGAGACAGAGUGACCUGCUUUGUCCUGCCCUGGCCCUCUGAAUCCCUCUAGGUCUCCCUAGAAAAAUAGGGAUCUGCAGACCCUGUGGGUACAAUAAUAAAGGAAAAACUACAAGGUACGGAAGAGGAAAUACACAAGAAAGCAGAAGUAGGUCCUGGUUCUUAUCCAGACCAUGAGGCCAUCACCACCGUCAGUUAACCCUGGAGGGGCUCCUUCCUUGCAACGAGGUCAAAUUCACAGUGUGCAAAGCAGGACCGGCCAAAGCCCUCACUUGAUUAUAGCUUAAUCCUAAUCUGAUGAGGUUUGGGUGCAAAGCUCUCUCAGGUUAACAGUGACCGGAGGAUCCCUGCGCUUUAGGACAUGGCUUUCUACCUUAAGGUCCCAGCAAGCUCUUUUUGGUGUUGGUGUUGGAAGUCUCACGUUGGCUGAGCAAGUGCUGUACCACCAAGCCACAUCUCCAAGCCCACACAGGAAGCCUCGUUAAAAAAUGAAAUGAAACACCAGAGCACAUCCAACACUGAGAAAGAGAAAAACAAACGUUGGCCACCACAGCUGGAAAGUUCUGGAUGGGGUAAAGACAGACAUCACCAGGGCAGGAUGUAAAAACCACAGUCUGAGCUCUGGAUGGGGAAGGCGAUCCACAAAGAGCACUCAGCAUGCAUAAAAUCUCCUCUUGGCACUUAAAUGUUUACGGGUAAAUGAAUCAUUCCUCUCCUAUGUGUGACCUUACGAUGUUUGUCACUGAGCUUAUAGAUUCCAGGAACCUGGGGGACACUUAACUCUCUCAGUGCCUGCCCCAGAGCUGAACUUAACAAUAGGAUCUUAGAGCUGAGUAAAACCUGCUUCAAUUGUUGGGGAUCUUUGUUUUUUCUUAUUUCUUUAUUUACAUCCCA
Long non-coding RNA from Rattus rattus (black rat), 898 nucleotides. RefSeq lists it as uncharacterized. Lineage: Eukaryota; Metazoa; Chordata; Mammalia; Rodentia; Muridae. The transcript is spliced from 3 exons. The record is from RefSeq and is a predicted model, not a curated record.